Long non-coding RNA from Mauremys reevesii (Reeves's turtle), 460 nucleotides. RefSeq lists it as uncharacterized. The record is from RefSeq and is a predicted model, not a curated record. Lineage: Eukaryota; Metazoa; Chordata; Testudines; Geoemydidae. The transcript is spliced from 9 exons.
CGUGAGUCCAGUUCAAGGAGCUGUUGAGGCGGUUGCACGUCCGGUUGGAGGUCUUGUUGACGCGGUUGCACGUCCGGUUGGAGGUCUUGUUGACGCGGUUGCACGUCCGGUUGGAGGUCUUGUUGAUGCGGUUGCACGUCCAGUUGGAGGUCUUGUAAGGGAUGUUGUGAGUCCAGUUGGAGAAGCUCUUGGGGAUGUUGUGCGUCCAGUUGGAGGUCUUCUUAGGGGUAUACUGGGGAAAUGAUCUGUGGACUAAGAAUUAUGAAUUAAUAACUCAAAUGCUGACGAAACCGGAUUGGCUGACUUCGAUGAUGACACCUGCCAUUAUGCUUCCUGAGCUGCUGCUUCACAACUCUCUCACCAAUCAAAUGCUGACUGAAAAUCAUGAAUCAUACUGAAUGGGCCUCUAGCUGAUUACUGUGACAGUCAUUGAUUUUUUUAUGCUUUUUGAUGUAACAGG